RNAcentral lists this ribosomal RNA (502 nucleotides) under uncultured Sphingobacteriales bacterium. Its description in RNAcentral is "bacterial SSU rRNA". It matches the Rfam family "Bacterial small subunit ribosomal RNA", at positions 904 to 1382 of the family's 1533-position model. Lineage: Bacteria; Pseudomonadati; Bacteroidota; Sphingobacteriia; Sphingobacteriales. The record is from RNAcentral.
CCUUGCCAGCCCGCUCAAGAAACUUAAUGAAUUGACGGGGCCCGCACAAGCGGAGGAGCAUGUGGUUUAAUUCGAUGAUACGCGAGGAACCUUACCUGGGCUCGAACGUAAGAUGACUGUAGGUGAAAGCUUACAUCUCUUCGGAGCAUUUUACGAGGUGCUGCAUGGUUGUCGUCAGCUCGUGCCGUGAGGUGUCGGGUUAAGUCCCAUAACGAGCGCAACCCCUACCUUUAGUUGCCAUCAGGUUAAGCUGGGGACUCUAAAGGAACUGCCUACGCAAGUAGUGAGGAAGGCGGGGAUGACGUCAAAUCAGCACGGCCCUUACGUCCAGGGCUACACACGUGCUACAAUGGCCGAUACAGAGGGCAGCUACCUGGUGACAGGAUGCAAAUCUCCAAAGUCGGUCUCAGUUCGGAUCGGAGUCUGCAACCCGACUCCGUGAAGUUGGAUUCGCUAGUAAUCGCGCAUCAGCCAUGGCGCGGUGAAUACGUUCCCGGGCCUU